UACGGAGGUUGCAAGCGCUAUCCGGAUUCAUUGGGUUUAAAGGGUGCGUAGGCGGGACGGUAAGUCAGUGGUGAAAGCCUGCAGCUUAACUGUAGAAUUGCCAUUGAUACUGCUGUUCUUGAGUGCAGCUGAGGUGGGUGGAAUGUGUAGUGUAGCGGUGAAAUGCUUAGAUAUUACACAGAACACCGAUUGCGAAGGCAGCUCACUAAACUGUAACUGACGAUGAGGCACGAAAGCGUGGGGAGCAAACAGG
RNAcentral lists this ribosomal RNA (253 nucleotides) under uncultured bacterium. Its description in RNAcentral is "partial 16S ribosomal RNA". It matches the Rfam family "Bacterial small subunit ribosomal RNA", at positions 524 to 776 of the family's 1533-position model. The record is from RNAcentral.